UACGUAGGGGGCAAGCGUUAUCCGGAUUUACUGGGUGUAAAGGGAGCGUAGACGGCAGUGCAAGUCUGAAGUGAAAGGCGGGGGCUCAACCCCCGGACUGCUUUGGAAACUGUUUGACUGGAGUGCAGGAGAGGUAAGUGGAAUUCCUAGUGUAGCGGUGGAAUGCGUAGAUAUUAGGAGGAACACCAGUGGCGGAGGCGGCUUACUGGACGGUAACUGACGCUGAGGCUCGAAAGCGUGGGGAGCAAACAGG
RNAcentral lists this ribosomal RNA (253 nucleotides) under uncultured Eubacteriales bacterium. Its description in RNAcentral is "uncultured Clostridiales bacterium partial 16S ribosomal RNA". It matches the Rfam family "Bacterial small subunit ribosomal RNA", at positions 524 to 776 of the family's 1533-position model. The record is from RNAcentral. Lineage: Bacteria; Bacillati; Bacillota; Clostridia; Eubacteriales.